CACCCGAAGGCGCUGCGCUAACCCGCAAGGGAGGCAGGCGACCACGGUGGGAUCAGCGACUGGGGUGAAGUCGUAACAAGGUAGCCGUAGGGGAACCUGCGGCUGGAUCACCUCCUUUCUAAGGAUUUGAGCGUACUGCGCCGAGCUUGUCUCGGAAGUGCGUCGCUCGUUCCAAAGAACAUGCCGCCGUCCUCAUGUCCCUUCAUCACUGGAAACACUGCCCUCGGGCAGUGAACGCCUGAGCUGGCUCACGCCGCCCGCGGCCCUUGUGGCUAGUUCGGGCGGGUUGCCAUCAAAGUAUUACUUUGAUGGGACCUGAUGGUGGGGGCCGGUAGCUCAGGUGGUUAGAGCGCACGCCUGAUAAGCGUGAGGUCGUAGGUUCAACUCCUACUCGGCCCACCAUAUUAGCUAAGCCGCUCGGCGGCACGCCUAACGCGUGCCGGCGUUGGCUGGCGCCUUUCGGGGCCUUAGCUCAGUUGGGAGAGCGCUAGCUUUGCAAGCUUGAGGUCAUCGGUUCGAUCCCGAUAGGCUCCACCAAGACAUUCCAGGGAUGAAGAUCACCAGUUUCGCGGCCUCGGCUGGGAUAUGGGGCGUUUUUGCGCCCCUCUUUGACAUUGUAAAUGGGUUCUAGAAAUCGAUGCCGUGAACGGCGUCGUGGCUAGAUCAAACGACAGCUUGCUUCGGCAGGUUGGCGGGAGAUUUGAUCACGAUGACGAUUACAACAUAAUGAUUAUCUAGCUGAGUAGGUUCGACCACUCUUCAACGUGGUCGAUCCGAAACAAAUCUCACCCCAAUAGUCGGCGCCUGUCAUGCAAGCAGGAUUGUCGAUGGUGGUGUGGAUUCUCAAGCGUGAGGUAAGGGCAAUUCGUGGAUGCCUUGGCAUACACAGGCGAUGAAGGACGUGGCACGCUGCGAUAAGCUGUGGUGAG
This 929-nucleotide unclassified non-coding RNA is filed under the name Sphingomonas sp. RNAcentral describes it as "partial contains 16S ribosomal RNA, 16S-23S ribosomal RNA intergenic spacer, and 23S ribosomal RNA". The stretch from base 1 to 118 matches the Rfam family "Bacterial small subunit ribosomal RNA", at positions 1418 to 1533 of the family's 1533-position model. The record is from RNAcentral. Lineage: Bacteria; Pseudomonadati; Pseudomonadota; Alphaproteobacteria; Sphingomonadales; Sphingomonadaceae.